Molecule: transfer RNA, 73 nt
Filed under: Acyrthosiphon pisum (pea aphid)
Lineage: Eukaryota; Metazoa; Arthropoda; Insecta; Hemiptera; Aphididae
Also listed under: 8 other names
Description: tRNA-Val
Rfam family: tRNA
About the family: Transfer RNA (tRNA) molecules are approximately 80 nucleotides in length.
Source: Rfam by way of RNAcentral
GGUUCCGUGGUGUAGCGGUUAUCACAUCUGCUUUACACGCAGAAGGUCGCCAGUUCGAUCCUGGCCGGAAUCA